GUCCUGCAUUUCUUGUUAUAGUUUUAACUCAAAACUAUCUUUAUAAUUUACACUAUUCUUGUCCUGCAUUUCUAGUAAUGUAAUAUUAAUAAUUUGUCCCGCAUAUUUGUGAUAUAUCUAAGUGUUCUUUUGUCUUGCAACAAAUACAAUUCGUUGCAGGACAAUGACAAUGAGUUAAGUGUCAAUCAUAGCAAUGUCCAACUACAUCCUUGUUUUGUAUGCAAUUAUUAUUUUUAUUUGUUAGAAUUUUGGUAAUUGAAUACCAAUAUUAUGGAAUUAUUAUUUUAUGUUAUGCAUGAUUUAGAAGUUCUGCUUGUUGUUCACCGAUUUAGAAGUGCAGGACAGGAUAGGGAGAUAAAACGAAUGUGCAGGACAAAUAUCUGCAGCCCUUGGAUGAGUGAGAAAUGGAUGGCUGUGAUUAAGUCUCUAAAGCCUCCACAAAAACCAGUCUCCG
This 454-nucleotide long non-coding RNA is filed under the name Daucus carota (carrot). Its description in RNAcentral is "long non-coding RNA (DCAR_LNC004074)". The record is from RNAcentral. Lineage: Eukaryota; Viridiplantae; Streptophyta; Magnoliopsida; Apiales; Apiaceae.